Molecule: ribosomal RNA, 492 nt
Filed under: uncultured bacterium
Lineage: Bacteria
Description: partial 16S ribosomal RNA
Rfam family: Bacterial small subunit ribosomal RNA
Source: RNAcentral
AGUGAACGCUGGCGGUAGGCCUAACACAUGCAAGUCGAACGGCAGCACAGUAAGAGCUUGCUCUUACGGGUGGCGAGUGGCGGACGGGUGAGGAAUACAUCGGAAUCUACUUUUUCGUGGGGGAUAACGUAGGGAAACUUACGCUAAUACCGCAUACGACCUACGGGUGAAAGCAGGGGAUCUUCGGACCUUGCGCGAUUGAAUGAGCCGAUGUCGGAUUAGCUAGUUGGCGGGGUAAAGGCCCACCAAGGCGACGAUCCGUAGCUGGUCUGAGAGGAUGAUCAGCCACACUGGAACUGAGACACGGUCCAGACUCCUACGGGAGGCAGCGGUGGGGAAUAUUGGACAAUGGGCGCAAGCCUGAUCCAGCCAUACCGCGUGGGUGAAGAAGGCCUCCGGGUUGUAAAGCCCUUUUGUUGGGAAAGAAAAGCAGCAGGUUAAUACCCCGCUGUUCUGACGGUACCCAAAGAAUAAGCACCGGCUAACUUCGUG